CGACGCUUUUAGGUGACGAAAGCAAUUUUCGUCGCUGGAAAGCGUUGAGAAGACCAGCACAUGUCAAGCACGUGAAUUGUUAAUACCUCACAACUAAGCCCACGUUUCAAUUUUAAGCGGAAAAUAAACCAACAAAAAAAAAUUCAGACUACUCAGUUCUCAACCCUAACUUUUCCGCCCUCUUCGUGAUAUUUAUGGAAUCUUAAUCCAGAUCUUAAUUCUCCCUGCAAUCCCCCUAAUGCUUGAUAAAAUUUCUCUACUUAAUUUUGUCACUCUCUAUACCGCUGUUGUUUCAAAGGAUGUAUAAGGGACUGUGAGUAAGAGGAUUUGAAGGAGUUUAUUCUCCACUUGAUGCUUUUGUGCUAAUUUGGUGCCUACUUGAUAUCUCUGUUGCUCUUGUCUUCCUGGCAUAGCAACCGUGUUGGCAGCCUCAUGGCAGGUGGCUGAGAAACGAAUAGGUUGGAGCUGCAGGAAUGGACUUGUUUUAAGGUAUAGUAGAUGGUGCAAAUAUGAGGAAUCCGGAGAACAUGGAAAAAGGAAGGGCUAGAAUUAAAAAACAUCAUUGACAUUUUUGGUUUUGAUCUCAUUGUUUUCAUCAUCAUCGUCAUAAUUCAGCGAAGGCUAACUCGACGUGUACGUUCAUAUGUAGUGUCUGAUAAAGCCACCAAUUAAAGACAUUACUAGGCCAAUCAACCUAAAGCUGCACAUAUGUGUGAUAAUUGACCACCAGGUAAUUGAAAUCUGGUAAUUGAAUUUGCAGGUAAUUGAAAUCUGGUAAUUGAAUCUGCACAUAUGUGUGAUUAUUAAUCCUAUACAGCUCUAGGAUUUUGCUUAGACAACGACAAGCUCACCUAUUCGUGGUCAAACCAGAUUUCUGAAAAAUUGACGUUGAUAGAGCAAUACAAACUGGAUAGAGAGAGGCAACAGAAGUUAGAAGAGGAGGAAGAAAUAAGAAUAUUAAGAAAGGAACUCAUUCCGAAUGCUCAGCCCAUGCCUUACUUUGACAGGCCUUUCGUCUCCUAUUCAUUACCCCUGAUGUAGGGUGCAAACUUCAAAGGUUAAUCAUCUUAUCAGUCAUGGUUGGCCAGUGGUGGAGGCUUGUCACACUGAUGUUUCUGGUAUAAGAUUAGUUAUACAUAGAAUGUAUUUGUACUUUCUUUUAUUAUUCUAUCUUAGACAAAAAAAAUGUCAGAAUAUCUUGGUAAAAAAAUGUCAGAAUAUCUUGGUUUUUGGCACUGUAUUGUACAUAUACCAAGUUGUACUCUUCAUUAAUUAUGAAUAAAUUGAAUUUGA
Molecule: long non-coding RNA, 1293 nt
Organism: Chenopodium quinoa (quinoa)
Lineage: Eukaryota; Viridiplantae; Streptophyta; Magnoliopsida; Caryophyllales; Amaranthaceae
Exons: 5
Source: RefSeq, a predicted model, not a curated record